GGCGCUCGGACCGCGACCCC
RNAcentral lists this ribosomal RNA (20 nucleotides) under Alseodaphnopsis andersonii. RNAcentral's name for it is "partial 26S ribosomal RNA". Lineage: Eukaryota; Viridiplantae; Streptophyta; Magnoliopsida; Laurales; Lauraceae. The record is from RNAcentral.